RNAcentral lists this unclassified non-coding RNA (304 nucleotides) under plant metagenome. RNAcentral describes it as "partial contains 5.8S ribosomal RNA, internal transcribed spacer 2, and large subunit ribosomal RNA". The stretch from base 1 to 105 matches the Rfam family "5.8S ribosomal RNA", at positions 50 to 154 of the family's 154-position model. The record is from RNAcentral.
GAAAUGCGAUAAGUAGUGUGAAUUGCAGAAUUCAGUGAAUCAUCGAAUCUUUGAACGCACAUUGCGCCCCUUGGUAUUCCAUGGGGCAUGCCUGUUCGAGCGUCAUUUGUACCUUCAAGCUUUGCUUGGUGUUGGGUGUUUGUCUCGCCUCUGCGUGUAGACUCGCCUCAAAACAAUUGGCAGCCGGCGUAUUGAUUUCGGAGCGCAGUACAUCUCGCGCUUUGCACUCAUAACGACGACGUCCAAAAGUACAUUUUUACACUCUUGACCUCGGAUCAAGUAGGGAUACCCGCUGAACUUAAGC